CAUGUAGGUGGUUUGGUAUGUCGGAUGUGAAAGCCCUUGGCUCAACCGAGGAAGUGCAUCCGAAACUGCCAGACUAGAGUAUUGGAGAGGGAAGCGGAAUUCCUAGUGUAGAGGUGAAAUUCGUAGAGAUUAGGAGGAACACCGGUGGCGAAAGCGGCUUCCUGGCCAUAUACUGACACUCAGAUGCGAAAGCGUGGGGAGCAAACAGGAUUAGAUACCCUGGUAGUCC
This 229-nucleotide ribosomal RNA is filed under the name uncultured bacterium. RNAcentral's name for it is "partial 16S ribosomal RNA". It matches the Rfam family "Bacterial small subunit ribosomal RNA", at positions 568 to 796 of the family's 1533-position model. The record is from RNAcentral.